CCUACGGGGGGCAGCAGUGGGGAAUAUUGGACAAUGGGGGCAACCCUGAUCCAGCCAUGCCGCGUGUGUGAAGAAGGCCCUCGGGUUGUAAAGCACUUUCAGUGAGGAAGAACGCCUGGUGGUUAAUACCCAUCAGGAAAGACAUCACUCACAGAAGAAGCACCGGCUAACUCCGUGCCAGCAGCCGCGGUAAUACGGAGGGUGCGAGCGUUAAUCGGAAUUACUGGGCGUAAAGCGCGCGUAGGUGGCUUGAUAAGCCGGUUGUGAAAGCCCCGGGCUCAACCUGGGAACGGCAGCCGGAACUGUCAAGCUAGAGUGCAGGAGAGGAAGGUAGAAUUCCCGGUGUAGCGGUGAAAUGCGUAGAGAUCGGGAGGAAUACCAGUGGCGAAGGCGGCCUUCUGGACUGACACUGACACUGAGGUGCGAAAGCGUGGGUAGCAAACAGGAUUAGAUACCCGAGUAGUC
Molecule: ribosomal RNA, 465 nt
Filed under: Vreelandella stevensii
Lineage: Bacteria; Pseudomonadati; Pseudomonadota; Gammaproteobacteria; Oceanospirillales; Halomonadaceae
Description: partial 16S ribosomal RNA
Rfam family: Bacterial small subunit ribosomal RNA
Source: RNAcentral